Molecule: unclassified non-coding RNA, 355 nt
Filed under: soil metagenome
Description: partial contains 5.8S ribosomal RNA, internal transcribed spacer 2, and large subunit ribosomal RNA
Rfam family: 5.8S ribosomal RNA (bases 1-120)
Source: RNAcentral
GAUGAAGAACGUAGCGAAAUGCGAUAAGUAGUGUGAAUUGCAGAAUUCAGUGAAUCAUCGAAUCUUUGAACGCUCAUUGCGCCUUCUAGUAUUCUGGGAGGCAUGCCUGUUUGAGCGUCAUUAAACCUCUCUCAAGUAUGAUUACUUGGAUGUGAAGGAAGAGUACCUUAAACUUAAGGAGUGUUCUCCUUUGAAAUUGAUUAGCAGAUGGUAAUGUUAUUAAAUCCCUGAUGUUGUAAGAAAUAAAAGUGGUUUUGUAGACUAUUAUCUAGCUUUAAAUUAUAAUUUUUAUUAUGGUUGACCUCAAAUCAGGUAAGGAUACCCGCUGAACUUAAGCAUAUCAAUAAGCGGAGGA